GUUUGUCUUUAUUGAUACGGAGACGUACAGUAAUGUCAUGAACUAGGGGGACUUCCUUGAUUAAGCUAAUACUGCCUAGAGAUAGGGGUAGGACGAUCAAUUGUAUUUUGCUUCCGUUUAUCAUGCAUUAUUAGUUACUAGGGGAGGCUAGAGAUAGCAAGCCGAUAAUUAGUAAUAGGCUCUUUUCGCCAAGAAAUUGGGUUAAGGAUAGACCAAGAAAGUUUGCAUGACAAUAUUAUAAAUAAGCAAAUUAAAUAAGAAGAGUAGAUAUAAGAGAGUGGAUAAGAUGAAAUUGUAAACCCCAACAACACCGUUCAUUCAUAGUUUCUUUUCCUUGCCAAUUGAAUCAUGAUAAUGGUCUAAAAACCGUUAUUUUAAUACUUAAGUUUGAUAUUAAAAAAAAACCCUCUAUGGCUUAGAAUGAGCUUUAAAUUAAGUAAAACACUUACUUGUGUCUU
RNAcentral lists this long non-coding RNA (458 nucleotides) under Vigna radiata. RNAcentral describes it as "long non-coding RNA (VRAD_LNC004225)". Lineage: Eukaryota; Viridiplantae; Streptophyta; Magnoliopsida; Fabales; Fabaceae. The record is from RNAcentral.